This 77-nucleotide transfer RNA is filed under the name Bacteroidetes bacterium HGW-Bacteroidetes-6. RNAcentral describes it as "tRNA-Pro". The record is from RNAcentral. Lineage: Bacteria; Pseudomonadati; Bacteroidota.
CGGGGCGUGGCGCAGUUGGCUAGCGUACUUGGCUGGGGGCCAAGUGGUCGUCCGUUCGAGUCGGACCGCUCCGACAA